Molecule: small RNA, 119 nt
Filed under: Coprobacter fastidiosus
Lineage: Bacteria; Pseudomonadati; Bacteroidota; Bacteroidia; Bacteroidales; Barnesiellaceae
Also listed under: 1 other name
Description: Staphylococcus-1 RNA
Rfam family: Staphylococcus-1 RNA
About the family: Firmicute (1 example). Nearby to self-splicing intron genes
Source: RNAcentral
AGAAACGGAAAGAUUUCUUUUGAAAUUUGGCUAAUGAAUCUUCUGUAAUGCUAUUAUGAGGAUUGCCCUUUGAGGUUUAUAGCAAUAGGUCGCCCCUAUGGUUAGCCACAUGUUUUCUU